Molecule: long non-coding RNA, 1286 nt
Organism: Balaenoptera acutorostrata (minke whale)
Lineage: Eukaryota; Metazoa; Chordata; Mammalia; Artiodactyla; Balaenopteridae
Exons: 5
Source: RefSeq, a predicted model, not a curated record
UUGGGUGACUGGGUAAUUGGGAUUCCAUUCAUACCAAUGGGGAAACUGGAGGUGGAGGUUUGCUGGUGGGGGUGGAGAUUCACAUGAAUUAAGUUUAGGAUCUGAUGACUUGAGGUGCUCGUGGGACAUCCAAAGGGAGAGGUCUGGCUGAUGGUUGGUUGAUUUAAGGAUUUGGAGGCCAGAGGAAAAGUGAAAACUGGAGUUAGAGAUUUCGAGGUCAUCACCCUAAAUCAAAUGCAGAUGAGUUAAGGGACCACAGAAUGCUCUGGACACAGUACAGAUUGAUUUUGGCAGAAACGACCAGUCAACAGACCUGCACAAGGAGGGGAAGAAUGUCUUCCUGGAAGGUCGGAGGGAAAAGAGACUCUGCUGACCAGCACCUGGGGCUCUGGGAGCAGCCCCACCACUGAUCUUCAGCACUGAGGGCCCAAGGUCAUCCAAUCCAGCCCCCUGCCUUCCUUCCAGGACCAGGACCAAGGUCCUUCUUCCAGGCAUUCCGCAGCCAGAAUCAGUGGAGCUAGAGGGCUUUAAAAGAGGCGGUGGAGUUUAACAGCUGUGCAGAGGCGACAAGAGAAGAGAAAAGGCAGUUAACUGCCAACAAGCAUCAUUCAGUGGCAUCUUCUACAUUCGACAUAGAACCGAUGUGCAGGUGAAGCAAAAUCCCUCCUGGAACCCAGGGAUGCUUAAGCAGCUGUGGGAACGUCCGAGGGCACGGGGGCAGCCGAUGUCUUUGAGGACCUCAGAGAUAUCCCACACAAACUUCCUUCUAGAAGAACUGGGGAAAUAACUCUUGGUAGUAGCGUCUGAAUCAGGCAGGGUCGAACCACGGCGGUUAAAAAACAGAGGAGUUCAGAAGUUUCAGAUACUGAGCAGGGAGAGGUGUCCAGUGGCGGAGGCCUCAAGGAGAAGCCAUAUUUUCAAUACUUCUGGGGUCAAGAGCGGCGGAACCCAGGAGCAGUGAAGCGUUGGAGCCAUCCUCACAGUGCUCCCUGAACCUCCCCGGGAUGAGGAGCUCCUUGUGGAAUGUCCUCCCACACUGGGAAGUGUGGGCAGUGGAUGGGGCAGUCAUCCUGCUGAGGGGAACUCCCUGCGGUCACCUCACCGACUCCCCAGAUGCACAGACACAAACACAUACGUAUCCUGAGGGACCACAUAUCCCCUUGCACAGAAGCCAGAAGGCGUGGGUUCAAGUCCCUCUUCCCCCAUGGAUCAAUGGCAUGCCAUCAUUGGUCACGUGUUACUUGCUAAACUCAGUUUUUUCAUCUAUAGAAUAAGGACAAUCGUGU